This 1485-nucleotide ribosomal RNA is filed under the name uncultured bacterium. RNAcentral describes it as "bacterial SSU rRNA". It matches the Rfam family "Bacterial small subunit ribosomal RNA". The record is from RNAcentral.
AAUGAACGCUGGCGGCGUGCCUAACACAUGCAAGUCGGACGAGAAAGCAGACUUCGGUCUGCAAGUAAAGUGGCAUACGGGUGAGUAACACGUGGGUAACCUGCCCGGAAGUGGGGGACAACUCUUCGAAAGGAGAGCUAAUACCGCAUAACAUCCCGAGUACUUCGGUUCACGGGAUCAAAGUUUGCCUCUGUUUCAUGCAAACGCUACCGGAGGGACCCGCGCCCCAUUAGCUUGAUGGUGAGGUAACGGCUCACCAUGGUUACGAUGGGUAGCCGGCCUGAGAGGGUGAUCGGCCACACUGGAACUGAGACACGGUCCAGACUCCUACGGGAGGCAGCAGUGAGGAAUUUUGCGCAAUGGGCGAAAGCCUGACGCAGCGACGCCGCGUGGAGGAAGAAGGCCUUCGGGUCGUAAACUCCUGUCAAGAGGGACGAAUCCCUACGGAAUGAAUAAGUCUGUAGGUUGACGGUACCUCUGAAGGAAGCCCCGGCUAACUCCGUGCCAGCAGCCGCGGUAAUACGGAGGGGGCAAGCGUUGUUCGGAAUUAUUGGGCGUAAAGGGCACGUAGGCGGUCAAGCAAGUUGGUGGUGAAAGCCCUCGGCUCAACCGAGGAAUUGCCCCCAAAACUGCUUGACUUGAGUCCCGGAGGGGGUGGCGGAAUUCCCAGUGUAGCGGUGAAAUGCGUAGAUAUUGGGAGGAACACCAGUGGCGAAGGCGGAUGGCUGGGCCGUUGUUGACGCUCAGGGACGAAAGCAUAGGUAGCGAACGGGAUUAGAUACCCCGGUAGUCCAUGCCCUAAACGAUGUGCACUAGGUCGCGGAGGGUUUGACCCCAUCGCGGCUGAAGUUAAAAUAUUAAGUGCACCGCCUGGGGAGUACGGUCGCAAGGCUAAAACUCAAAGGAAUUGACGGGGGCUCACACAAGCGGUGGAGCAUGUGGCUUAAUUCGAAGCAACGCGAAGAACCUUAUCCAGGGCUUGACAUGUAUGGAUUAUUGAUCCGAAAGGUGAUAAACGCUCUCUGAGUGGAACAUACACAGGUGCUGCAUGGCUGUCGUCAGCUCGUGCUGUGAAGUGUCGGGUUAAGUCCCCUAACGAGCGAAACCCCUAUCUCUAGUUGCCAUCAGUUCGGCUGGGCACUCUAGCGAGACUGCCGGUGUUAAACCGGAGGAAGGUGGGGAUGACGUCAAGUCCUCAUGGCCCUUAUGUCCAGGGCUACUCACGUGCUACAAUGGUCGGCACAGAGGGUCGCGAGCCCGCGAGGGGAAGCUAAUCCCAAAAAGCCGAUCUCAGUCCGGAUUGGAGUCUGCAAUUUGACUCCAUGAAGGAGGAGUCGCUAGUAAUCGCGGAUCAGCAUGCCGCGGUGAAUACGUUCCCGGGCCUUGUACACACCGCCCGUCACACCACGAAAGCUACUUGAACCAGAAGUCCGUGACCUGACCGCAAGGAAGGAGCGGCCCAAGGUUUGGGCGGUGAUUGGGGUG